This 253-nucleotide ribosomal RNA is filed under the name uncultured bacterium. RNAcentral describes it as "partial 16S ribosomal RNA". It matches the Rfam family "Bacterial small subunit ribosomal RNA", at positions 524 to 776 of the family's 1533-position model. The record is from RNAcentral.
GACAGAGGAUGCAAGCGUUAUCCGGAAUGAUUGGGCGUAAAGCGUCUGUAGGUGGCUUUUCAAGUCCGCCGUCAAAUCCCAGGGCUCAACCCUGGACAGGCGGUGGAAACUACCAAGCUGGAGUACGGUAGAGGCAGAUGGAAUUCCGGGUGUAGCGGUGGAAUGCGUAGAGAUCCGGAAGAACACCGGUGGCGAAGGCGGUCUGCUGGGCAGUUGCUGACGCUGAGGAGCGAAAGCGUGGGGAGCGAACAGG